UACGUAGGGUGCGAGCGUUAAUCGGAAUUACUGGGCGUAAAGCGUGCGCAGGCGGUUUUGUAAGCCAGAUGUGAAAUCCCCGGGCUUAACCUGGGAAUGGCAUUUGGGACUGCAAGGCUGGAGUACGGCAGAGGAGACUGGAAUUCCUGGUGUAGCAGUGAAAUGCGUAGAGAUCAGGAGGAAUACCGAUGGCGAAGGCAGGUCUCUGGGCUGAUACUGACGCUCAUGCACGAAAGCGUGGGGAGCAAACAGGAUUACGAAACCCCGAGU
Molecule: ribosomal RNA, 270 nt
Filed under: uncultured bacterium
Lineage: Bacteria
Description: partial 16S ribosomal RNA
Rfam family: Bacterial small subunit ribosomal RNA
Source: RNAcentral